CAGGUGGGACUACCCGCU
This 18-nucleotide ribosomal RNA is filed under the name Amylostereum areolatum. RNAcentral's name for it is "partial 28S ribosomal RNA". Lineage: Eukaryota; Fungi; Basidiomycota; Agaricomycetes; Russulales; Stereaceae. The record is from RNAcentral.